AGACAUCUGUUCCUCUGGCAAAGUCUUUCAUGCUUUGUCAGAUUUCAGAAUGUCUUAGAAUAAAACUGGGUUACUUCACCUGGAACUGUAUUUAAAUUACAUUGUCCAGUUUUUGCGGAUUCAGACAAUC
Molecule: non-coding RNA, 130 nt
Organism: Solenopsis invicta (red fire ant)
Lineage: Eukaryota; Metazoa; Arthropoda; Insecta; Hymenoptera; Formicidae
Source: Rfam